AACUAUCACUUCACUGUAUUCUUGAUUUUCCAAUCAUGUCUUCUUCAGAGCAUCUAUAACCACCGGUGAAUCUAACGGCCCCGUCACCGGCUUUCCGUCGAUCAUUAUGGGUCCACCAUUGGUGACGCUUAUGUUUGGCGGCGUCAUCUUAGUUCCCGUCUGCAUGCAGAACCGGUCCGCCAUGUAAGAAUGCUUUAUGCAAAUAAAACAUUUAGGCCUUCUAGUUCUUUUGUAUAAUCACAAAUAAUAAUAAU
RNAcentral lists this small RNA (254 nucleotides) under Arabidopsis thaliana (thale cress). RNAcentral describes it as "ATSL220510". The record is from RNAcentral. Lineage: Eukaryota; Viridiplantae; Streptophyta; Magnoliopsida; Brassicales; Brassicaceae.